RNAcentral lists this ribosomal RNA (253 nucleotides) under uncultured bacterium. Its description in RNAcentral is "partial 16S ribosomal RNA". It matches the Rfam family "Bacterial small subunit ribosomal RNA", at positions 524 to 776 of the family's 1533-position model. The record is from RNAcentral.
UACGUAGGGGGCAAGCGUUGUCCGGAUUUAUUGGGCGUAAAGAGCGUGUAGGCGGCCGCACAGGUCCGUGGGGAAAACUGGAGGCUUAACCUUCAGACGUCGAUGGAAACCGUGCGGCUAGAGUCCGGAAGAGGAGAAUGGAAUUCCUGGUGUAGCGGUGAAAUGCGCAGAUAUCAGGAAGAACACCCGUGGCUAAGGCGGUUCUCUAGUACGGUACUGACGCUGAGACGCGAAAGCGUGGGGAGCGAACAGG